Cricetulus griseus (Chinese hamster) is the source of this 105-nucleotide small nuclear RNA. The record is from Ensembl. NCBI's taxonomy places the organism in Eukaryota, Metazoa, Chordata, Mammalia, Rodentia, Cricetidae.
UUCCAUCUGAAAUUGAAGCAUAUACUAAUUGGAGUGAUACAGAGAAGAUGAGCACGGCCCCUAUGCAAGGAUGACACACAAAUUCAUGAUGUAGUCCAUUUUUUU